GGGAGUGUAGUUCAGCGAUAGAACAUGUGCUUCGCAUGUGUAAGGCCCUGGAUUCCAUCCCCAGCAACCCCU
RNAcentral lists this transfer RNA (72 nucleotides) under Fukomys damarensis (Damara mole-rat). It matches the Rfam family "tRNA". Rfam says of the family: Transfer RNA (tRNA) molecules are approximately 80 nucleotides in length. Their secondary structure includes four short double-helical elements and three loops (D, anti-codon, and T loops). Lineage: Eukaryota; Metazoa; Chordata; Mammalia; Rodentia; Bathyergidae. The record is from Rfam by way of RNAcentral.